RNAcentral lists this ribosomal RNA (484 nucleotides) under Klebsiella pneumoniae. Its description in RNAcentral is "bacterial SSU rRNA". It matches the Rfam family "Bacterial small subunit ribosomal RNA", at positions 45 to 520 of the family's 1533-position model. Lineage: Bacteria; Pseudomonadati; Pseudomonadota; Gammaproteobacteria; Enterobacterales; Enterobacteriaceae. The record is from RNAcentral.
ACCCUAACACAUGCAAGUCGAGCGGUAGCACAGAGAGCUUGCUCUCGGGUGACGAGCGGCGGACGGGUGAGUAAUGUCUGGGAAACUGCCUGAUGGAGGGGGAUAACUACUGGAAACGGUAGCUAAUACCGCAUAAUGUCGCAAGACCAAAGUGGGGGACCUUCGGGCCUCAUGCCAUCAGAUGUGCCCAGAUGGGAUUAGCUAGUAGGUGGGGUAACGGCUCACCUAGGCGACGAUCCCUAGCUGGUCUGAGAGGAUGACCAGCCACACUGGAACUGAGACACGGUCCAGACUCCUACGGGAGGCAGCAGUGGGGAAUAUUGCACAAUGGGCGCAAGCCUGAUGCAGCCAUGCCGCGUGUGUGAAGAAGGCCUUCGGGUUGUAAAGCACUUUCAGCGGGGAGGAAGGCGUUGAGGUUAAUAACCUCAUCGAUUGACGUUACCCGCAGAAGAAGCACCGGCUAACUCCGUGCCAGCAGCCGCGG